RNAcentral lists this ribosomal RNA (527 nucleotides) under uncultured bacterium. Its description in RNAcentral is "bacterial SSU rRNA". It matches the Rfam family "Bacterial small subunit ribosomal RNA", at positions 984 to 1509 of the family's 1533-position model. The record is from RNAcentral.
ACAUCCAGCGAACUUGGCAGAGAUGCCUUGGUGCCUUCGGGAACGCUGAGACAGGUGCUGCAUGGCUGUCGUCAGCUCGUGUUGUGAAAUGUUGGGUUAAGUCCCCGNAACGAGCGCAACCCUUAUCCUUUGUUGCCAGCGAUUCGGUCGGGAAACUCAAAGGAGACUGCCGGUGAUAAACCGGAGGAAGGUGGGGAUGACGUCAAGUCAUCAUGGCCCUUACGAGUAGGGCUACACACGUGCUACAAUGGCGCAUACAAAGAGAAGCGACCUCGCGAGAGCAAGCGGACCUCAUAAAGUGCGUCGUAGUCCGGAUCGGAGUCUGCAACUCGACUCCGUGAAGUCGGAAUCGCUAGUAAUCGUGGAUCAGAAUGCCACGGUGAAUACGUUCCCGGGCCUUGUACACACCGCCCGUCACACCAUGGGAGUGGGUUGCAAAAGAAGUAGGUAGCUUAACCUUCGGGAGGGCGCUUACCACUUUGUGAUUCAUGACUGGGGUGAAGUCGUAACAAGGUAAGCGUAGCGAG